GACGAACGCUGGCGGCGUGCUUAACACAUGCAAGUCGAACGGAAAGGCCCUGCUUUUGUGGGGUGCUCGAGUGGCGAACGGGUGAGUAACACGUGAGUAACCUGCCCUUGACUUUGGGAUAACUUCAGGAAACUGGGGCUAAUACCGGAUAGGAGCUCCUGCUGCAUGGUGGGGGUUGGAAAGUUUCGGCGGUUGGGGAUGGACUCGCGGCUUAUCAGCUUGUUGGUGGGGUAGUGGCUUACCAAGGCUUUGACGGGUAGCCGGCCUGAGAGGGUGACCGGCCACAUUGGGACUGAGAUACGGCGCAGACUCCUACGGUAGGCAGCAGUGGAGAGUAUGACACAAUGGGCGGAAGCCUGAUGCAGCAACGCCGCGUGCGGGAUGACGGCCUUCGGGUUGUAAACCGCUUUCGCCUGUGACGAAGCGUGAGUGACGGUAAUGGAUAAAGAAGCACCGGCUAACUACGUG
Molecule: ribosomal RNA, 468 nt
Filed under: uncultured bacterium
Lineage: Bacteria
Description: partial 16S ribosomal RNA
Rfam family: Bacterial small subunit ribosomal RNA
Source: RNAcentral